GUGAACGCUGGCGGUAGGCCUAACACCUGCAAGUCGCACGGCAGCACAGUAAGAGCUUGCUCUUCCGGGUGGCGAGUGGCGGACGGGUGAGGAAUACAUCGGAAUCUACUUUUUCGUGGGGGAUAACGUAGGGAAACUUACGCUAAUACCGCAUACGACCUACGGGUGAAAGCAGGGGAUCUUCGGACCUUGCGCGAUUGAAUGAGCCGAUGUCGGAUUAGCUAGUUGGCGGGGUAAAGGCCCACCAAGGCGACGAUCCGUAGCUGGUCUGAGAGGAUGAUCAGCCACACUGGAACUGAGACACGGUCCAGACUCCUACGGGAGGCAGCAGUGGGGAAUAUUGGACAAAGGGCGCAAGCCUGAUCCAGCCAUACCGCGUGGGUGAAGAAGGCCUUCGGGUUGUAAAGCCCUUUUGUUGGGAAAGAAAAGCAGCAGGUUAAUACCCCGCUGUUCUGACGGUACCCAAAGAAUAAGCACCGGCUAACUUCGUG
Molecule: ribosomal RNA, 491 nt
Filed under: uncultured bacterium
Lineage: Bacteria
Description: partial 16S ribosomal RNA
Rfam family: Bacterial small subunit ribosomal RNA
Source: RNAcentral